CUUUUAGAAUGUGUCUUCGUGAUGGAUCUGGGGAUUGGAGGAUGUCACCUGCUAGGCUAUGACCUUUUCCAGCCUCAACUCUGUCUCCUGUCAAAACUGCCUACCUCCUGCCCUUACGUUUGACUUGCUCCUGAUCCCACCUCCCUACCCUGGUUCCUGGCCCUGUGGCUUGGUCCGAUCUUGACAUCUGCUAUGUGUAUCCAGUGUUGGAACUGCCUGUUUAGCCAGAUGUGGAGCCAUCCACUCUGUAGGAAGCCCCUGGUGGCAGGUGGCAGGGCUCAGACUUUCCUCUCCCCACCCUCCUUAGCACCCAAAUGGGGGCCUGGCCCUGCAACCCUUUCUGAAGGAUGAAUGACCUACUCUGGGUGUUCCCACUCAUCCUUGUGACUAAUUAGAGCAAAGGGAGAGGGAGGUGUUGAGAGGACAUUUCUGACAAGCUUGUGUGUGUGAAAGAGAUUUCCCUUCUAGACUACUGAGUGAUUCCUAUCUUGUAUUAAGAUCAGAUAUUUAGAUCUGAAAUCAGAGUGUCAUCAACAGAUUUAAGGUGUGAUCUCAGGCCGGAGCAAAGAAAAUUGGUGGUGGGAACCCAGGAAGAACAACAGGAUCAGGCCAAGACUGCUAAGCUUCCUGAAAAGCUGAGAUUACAGGUGUUUACCAUCAUGCCUGCCUCCUGAUUUACUUUGUUAAGCUUUUAUUGAGAUAUAACACACAUACUGUCCAAUCCACUCAUAUAAAGUAUAUAAUUCAAUGUUGUUUUGGGUAUAUUCAGAGUUGUACAACCAUUAUUACAAUCAAUUUUGGAAAACUUUCAUAAUUAACUUCCUUUUUUUCUUUUAAAAAUUUGUUUAAAAAAUUAACUUACUUUUGAAGGAAAUUGUCUAUUAU
This 885-nucleotide long non-coding RNA is filed under the name Heterocephalus glaber (naked mole-rat). RNAcentral describes it as "lncRNA (ENSHGLG00000043615.1)". The record is from RNAcentral. Lineage: Eukaryota; Metazoa; Chordata; Mammalia; Rodentia; Bathyergidae.